RNAcentral lists this ribosomal RNA (1402 nucleotides) under uncultured bacterium. Its description in RNAcentral is "bacterial SSU rRNA". It matches the Rfam family "Bacterial small subunit ribosomal RNA". The record is from RNAcentral.
CAUGGCUCACAACCAACGCUGGCGGCAUGCCUAAUACAUGCACCUCCAACGAGAUCUUCCGGUCUAGUGGCGCACGGGUGCGUACCGCGUGGGAAUCUGCCCUUGGGUUCGGAAUAACGUCAGGAAACUGACGCUAAUACCGGAUGAUGACUAAAGUCCAAAGAUUUAUCGCCCAGGGAUGAGCCCGCAUAGGAUUAGCUAGUUGGUGAGGUAAAGGCUCACCAAGGCUACCAUCCUUAGCUGGUCUGAUAGGAUGAUUAGCCUCACUGGGACUGAAACACGGCCCAAACUCCUACGGGAGGCAUCAGUAGGGAAUAUUGCACAAUGGGGGCAACCCUGAUCCAUCAAUGCCGCGUGAGUGAUGAAGGCCUUAGGGUUGUAAAGCUCUUUUACCCGAGAUGAUAAUGACAGUAUCGGGAGAAUAAGCUCCGGCUAACUCCGUGCCAGCAGCCGCGGUAAUACCGAGGGAGCUAGCGUUGUUCGGAAUUACUGGGCGUAAAGCGCACGUAGGCGGCGAUGUAAGUCAGAGGUGAAAGCCUGGGGCUCAAUCCCGGAACUGCCUUUGAGACUGGAUUGCUUGAAUCCUGGAGAGGUGAGUGGAAUUCCGAGUGCAGAGGUGAAAUUCUUAGAUAUUCGGAAGAUUACCAGUGGCGAAAGCGGCUCANUNGGACANGUNAUUGNCNCUGANGUGCGAANAGCGUGGGNNUNNNANACANGAGUANAUACCNUGGUANUCNNCGCUGUAACCGAUAUUAAACUAGCUGCCGGGGCACAUGUGUUUUGGUGGCGCCAGCUAACGCAUUAAGUUAUCCGCCUGGGGAGUACGGUUGCAAGAUUAAAACUCAAGGGAAUUGACGGGGGCCUGCACAAGCGGUGGAGCAUGUGGUAUAAUUAGAAGCUACGAGCAGAACCUUCCCAAUAUUUGACAUCCCUAUCGCGGAUAGGGGAGACACUUUCGUUCAGUUCGGAUGGAUAGGUGACAGCUGGUGCAUGGCGGUCGUCAGCUUGUGUCGUGAGAUGAUGGGUUAAGUCCCGCAACGAGCGCAACCCUCGCCUUUAGUUGCCAUCAUUUAGUUGGGUACUAUAAAGGAACCGCCGGCGAUAAUCCGUAGGAAGGUGGGGAUGACGUCAAGUCCUCAUGGCCCUUACUCGUUGGGCUACACACGUGCUACAAUGGCGAAUACAGUGGGCAGCCACCUCGCGAGAGGGAGCUAAUCUCCAAAAGUCGUCUCAGUUCGGAUCGUUCUCUGCAACUCGCGCCCGUGAAGGCGGAAUCGCUAGUAAUCGUGGAUCAGCACUCUUAGGUGAAUAUUUUCCCAGGCUUUGUACGCUCCGCCCGUCUUUCCAUGAGAGUCCCACCACUGGAAGGCGUUGAGCUAACGGCAAGGAGGCAGGCGACCAC